This 1018-nucleotide long non-coding RNA is filed under the name Coffea arabica (coffee). Its description in RNAcentral is "long non-coding RNA (CARA_LNC003284)". Lineage: Eukaryota; Viridiplantae; Streptophyta; Magnoliopsida; Gentianales; Rubiaceae. The record is from RNAcentral.
UACGGAUCAAGGUGAAAAAUGCAGCCAACAUGAAGGAAUAUCAAAACUGUCUGCUGGACUCUACCUAAGCAGUCUUAGGGGUAUUUUUAUCUUUUCAUGAGCUACAGUACUCGGAUUGGGCUGAAAUUUUGCAAACAACUAUAAAACAUUAUUCCCUACAACUUUCAUGUUUUAUACAAAGGCUAAAUCAGCUUUUAACAUGGACGAAUUGCACUGGUCAGAAGCAGGGAAGCUUUGUCACUAUCAAUGCUGGAAUUCUAGAACUAACGCUGGAAAUUGCAACCAAAGCUAGAAAACCAUAUACCAAAACUUAAAAUUUCACAUCAAAGUUAGACCAUCUCAUAUCACAACUAUCAGGUUCAUCUCAUGGUUGGAAAAUGCAUAUCAUGACUUGAAAUUGAACAUUAAAGCUGGAAAAUGUAACCCUAGGCUGAAAUUCCAUCAAUCUUCACCAAUCUAGGUUAUCAUCCAUCAUCCUUCUAAGUUUCAAGUCAUAUAUCCAAUCAAAUGCAACAUAAGAAAGGGAAGAAGAGUUUCUUAGCUUAUUACCUUCAAACCUCAAGGAAAUACACAAAAUCAAGGCUGCCCAUACAAAAAUCACUCCACCCAAAGCUUCCUUGUCACCUUAUUACAAGUUUAAUCGGUUUAGUUUUUGUGAUUCCAAAUCAAACAAGGUAAAAUAGAAGAUGGAAAUUGAAGCUCUCACACUCUUUUUCUCCUCACUAGGUUCGGCCAACAAGGGAAGAAAAUGGAGGAAAAUGGAACCAAGAAGAAGAUAAGAAAGAAAGAAAAAUGCUUGGUCAAAGUUUAACACAUGUCACACUUUGAUUGGUGGUCAAAAUUUUCUUUUCUCUCUCUUGUUUUUUGUCCAAAUUUUCAGCUGCUUUAGAAGAUAUUUUAAGGCUGAUUUUGCUCAAUUAAUAGCAAGGUUAUUAAGGUAAUAAAGUGGUGUUCAAGUGGUGCACUCACUCGGUAACAAACGGUACUCGUCGGUUCGAGCCGAUUUUCCUUAAAUCGC